RNAcentral lists this long non-coding RNA (446 nucleotides) under Ananas comosus (pineapple). RNAcentral's name for it is "long non-coding RNA (ACOM_LNC043094)". Lineage: Eukaryota; Viridiplantae; Streptophyta; Magnoliopsida; Poales; Bromeliaceae. The record is from RNAcentral.
GCCUAUGCGACUUAUGUUCGCUCGUGCGAUAUCGAGAAAUCUACGGGGUUGGGAAGGAUAGACUCAUUUCUAGAAUGGGAAUGUUUGAGCUACCACCGGUACGUAAGUGGCACAAGCUGGACUACACUUGUGUAGGUCCUAAAACAAGAUUGAACAAUGAUAACAAUCCAUAAAUGAUAAUCAUUACUAGAUAGGGUGUAGUAGUUGGAUUAGCUUGACAUGCUUAAUGCGUAGCUUUGGACAUUUAAGACAUGUAGUAUGCUUAGUAAUAUCACUCAUUGCAUUACAGUAUACUUACUUGCCGUGUGGGAUCAUACUAGUUAUGUUUUGGACAUACUUGAUCAUGGUAGAAUGAAUGUACAGCAUAUUGACAUUAUAUUGUUUAUGGCAUAGUAGUUUAGCAUUUAUACAUGCUUUCAUAUCUGUAGUUUAUUUCUAUUGCUUUU